This is a long non-coding RNA of Scatophagus argus, 1493 nucleotides long. RefSeq lists it as uncharacterized. The record is from RefSeq and is a predicted model, not a curated record. Lineage: Eukaryota; Metazoa; Chordata; Actinopteri; Scatophagidae. The transcript is spliced from 4 exons.
CUCAGUGAAGAAACUCUGAGAUAAGACAAAUGGUUCAAAUGACCUUUGAAAAGAUCACCAUCUCUCAGCUCGCCUGAGAGAGGGAAAGCAAGAGGGAGAGAGGGGAUAGAGAGGAGAGCUAUUUCUAUAUAGUGAGGGAUAAAAGUGGAUUCCCAAACUGCGUGAGUGUGUGCCCUAUUCGUCUUCCCCCCUCCGAAUGAUUUCUGCUCCACUUGCACAAGCUAAGUUUAUUUGUCUCUGUCUAGGACUCAAGAGAAGAGGGAGAAGCAGAAGGGUUAAAGUCUGCAUUUGUUACUCAUUAACUUACACUUGUGUGAUUUUCUUUCAUUACAAUUUUUAAUGAAGAACUUAAGUUGCCCCCUCACUCCAGAGGACCUCCACCCCGCACGGCUAAGCUGCUCUGCUCUGCAGGCCACAUGGGCCGUUCAUGGUGCUCAUUACUGUCCGGGUCCGAGGAGAGUCAGUGUAGCUAGCUACCUCUAAGUUGUAUUCUCAAUCCCACAAGCCAUUCAUCUGUGUUUGAAAUUUAUGGAUUGGUCCCCACUGUUCCAGAAGAUCGGGCGUAAAGAGGAAGAAAGAUAUCUCAUAACAAGGCGGCAUGGAGGCGAGGAGUGCGGUGUCACGCACGCCGUGCUGCAACCACCGGGAAUGAACUGACAGGCCAUGGUGGAGCACACGGCCAGAAUCAGAAGAUUAUUGGCCGCACUGAGAAAACGUGGACCGUUUUAUAGGCUGAAAAUAUUGGCAGGGGAAGGCAUCCUUGUGAGCCUCACAAGGUGGUCCAGGAAGCAACAGGAUCUGGUCUGCAAUGAUCCCGUCCGGAACUCCUGCCCCAGAGGCUCGGGUGUGAUACGGGAAAUCCCUUAUUCAAAGCAGUUUGAAACAGAGGACUUCCCAUGAGGCAAAAAACCAUCCACGUGAUUUUUACGAUGUCCGAUCCCCCCAUGGCACGAGCAGGCGCUGCUAGCUUCACAGAGCAGGCAGACAGGUUGGAGAGAAGGUGGACGCAACAUUUUGACCCAACGACAGAUAGCAGGAGGGAGCAGUCACAAACCCGGAGAAGCCGGUCACAGGAAAAAGACAGUGUUUUACAGUGAGUACUUUGUCCAGUGUCCAGGGGACAGUUUGCUCCCUCAAACAGUCAUUCCCUGGUUUUCCUGUCUCUGGCUGUGUUAUGAGACCUGUGAAUCAACAAGAACAGAGCAAACAUGAGACAGUUGUUACAAGACACAGUCCUUCUCAGCUCAGAGAGAAGAGAAAUCACUUCUGAAGAUGUAUUUAUGCAAAAAGGCAGUUCGAUAAGUCAAUGUUUUGUAUUCCAUUUCUCUUUCCCAUAUAUUGAGCACAAUGUUUGACACCAUAUAAAUGAAAAAAAUGAUCCUGUCUUGUCAUCUCCCAUACAGCAGCACAGUAAAUCUUUUGUUUAACAAUUCAGAAAUUUGAUACAUAUCUAAGUCUUUGGAAUUAAAGUUUGUCUUUGCAGUACAAACACA